RNAcentral lists this ribosomal RNA (395 nucleotides) under uncultured bacterium. RNAcentral describes it as "partial 16S ribosomal RNA". It matches the Rfam family "Bacterial small subunit ribosomal RNA", at positions 523 to 918 of the family's 1533-position model. The record is from RNAcentral.
AUACGUAGGGUGCAAGCGUUAAUCGGAAUUACUGGGCGUAAAGCGUGCGCAGGCGGUUUUGUAAGAAAGAGGGGAAAUCCCCGGGCUCAAACUGGGAACUGCCUUUGUGACUGCAAGGCGAAAGGACGGCAGAGGGGGAUGGAAUUUCGCGGGUAGCAGUGAAAUGCGUAGAUAUGCGGAGGAACACCGAUGGCGAAGGCAAUCCCCUGGGCCUGUACUGACGCUCAUGCACGAAAGCGUGGGGAGCAAACAGGAUUAGAUACCCUGGUAGUCCACGCCCUAAACGAUGUCAACUGGUUGUUGGGUCUUCAUUGACUCAGUAACGAAGCUAACGCGUGAAGUUGACCGCCUGGGGAGUACGGCCGCAAGGUUGAAACUCAAAUGAAUUGACGGGG